UAUCCCCUCUCUACUUUUCUAUCUUCUCUCUUCCCCUUCUCCGUCCGUCCGUCCGUCUGUCUUUAGACUAUUCUGGAAGAAGAUUUGGAGGAUCCGGUCUACCAGUACAUUGUGUUUGAGGCGGGACACGAGCCCCUCCGUGACCAAUCAGAAGAGAGCAUUUAUCAGGUUCCGACCAGUCAACAGAAGGAGGGGGUAUAUGACGUCCCCAAGAGACACCCAGUGAGUCCAGCUCUGUGUGCCUGUGUCCCCUUUGGUGCUGUGGUGUUGCCUGUGCAUAUCCUGUGCCGUGGCUUUGGCUCUGUGCUGUGCUGUGCUGUGGCUUUGUGGGAGUGUGGGUGGAGUCGCUGUGUAUGUGAAUUAGAGUGGGUGGGGUUUCCUCUAUGCUUGGUGCUGGUUGCAUGCAGUGUGGGGACAGGGGUGCGUGUGCAUUGCAUGCAGUGUGGUGCCUUGGUGAUGCAUGGCUGGCUGUGGUCUGCUGGUGAACGAACAAACAUGCAUGGACUGACAAUACAAGAACGAAGAGAUUGGUAAGAGGGAGAGAGAGUGUAUGUAUGUGCAUGUGCACACCUGUGUGUGUGCGUGUGUGCGUCAUUCCAGUUGACCUUGACCGAUGUCAGGAUGCACCAUAACUCUCCAUCUCCUUUAUGAUCUUAUUAAACAUGGUAGUUAAACAUCUCUCUGUUUCAUUAGCUAAUAACUCCAUCCUCAUAACCUCAUAGCUAUUCUGCACCUGCUACUCCAUCUCUGACACCUGUCUAAAAACCAAAGAUCCCAACGGUAGGGAAGGGGCCUCGUUGUCAAAAUCUGCCCUGCUCACUGUUCCCCCUGUACUUCCACUGGGCUCUCCUAGCUCACACUGCAGAACACACACCCAUUGUGUAGUCGUAAUCAGACGGUGUGGAUUGUGGCAGUCAGUUCUGUCCUGUGUUCCUGUAUUAUUCCAGCAGUGCUAACAGGCUUAUAGUAUGUAUACUAGUGAGAUCCCACAGUCCUACUGCUGUCCUUUACCACCACACAACACUGAGACUUAAUGGCUUUUAUCUGUGCUUACCAGGCCUGUAUGUAUCUCUAGGGGUUGUAAUACUGUACUAUAGCCAGUAGGGUCUGGCACCUCUGUCUCAACCUUAUGCUCCACUGUUAUUUAGACUGUCACCUUCUGUCUCUCAAUGCUAUUAACCAAUAACAAACACACUC
Molecule: long non-coding RNA, 1197 nt
Organism: Salvelinus sp. IW2-2015
Lineage: Eukaryota; Metazoa; Chordata; Actinopteri; Salmoniformes; Salmonidae
Source: RefSeq, a predicted model, not a curated record